AUUGAACGCUGGCGGCAUGCUUUACACAUGCAAGUCGAACGGCAGCGCGGGCUUCGGCCUGGCGGCGAGUGGCGAACGGGUGAGUAAUACAUCGGAACGUGCCCAGUAGUGGGGGAUAGCUCGGCGAAAGCCGGAUUAAUACCGCAUACGACCUGAGGGUGAAAGCGGGGGAUCUUCGGACCUCGCGCUAUUGGAGCGGCCGAUGGCAGAUUAGCUAGUUGGUGGGGUAAAGGCCUACCAAGGCGACGAUCUGUAGCUGGUCUGAGAGGACGACCAGCCACACUGGGACUGAGACACGGCCCAGACUCCUACGGGAGGCAGCAGUGGGGAAUUUUGGACAAUGGGCGAAAGCCUGAUCCAGCAAUGCCGCGUGUGUGAUGAAGGCCUUCGGGUUGUAAAGCACUUUUGGCGGGAACGAAAAGGACUGUGCCAAUACCACGGUUCGAUGACGGUACCCGCAGAAUAAGCACCGGCUAACUACUUG
Molecule: ribosomal RNA, 484 nt
Filed under: uncultured bacterium
Lineage: Bacteria
Description: partial 16S ribosomal RNA
Rfam family: Bacterial small subunit ribosomal RNA
Source: RNAcentral